RNAcentral lists this ribosomal RNA (775 nucleotides) under Catenuliconidia uniseptata. RNAcentral describes it as "SSU rRNA". It matches the Rfam family "Eukaryotic small subunit ribosomal RNA", at positions 90 to 874 of the family's 1831-position model. The record is from RNAcentral. Lineage: Eukaryota; Fungi; Ascomycota; Sordariomycetes; Xylariales; Catenuliconidiaceae.
CGAAUGGCUCAUUAAAUCAGUUAUCGUUUAUUUGAUAGUACCUUACUACUUGGAUAACCGUGGUAAUUCUAGAGCUAAUACAUGCUAAAAAUCCCGACUCACGGAGGGAUGUAUUUAUUAGAUUAAAAACCAAUGCCCUUCGGGGCUUCUUGGUGAUUCAUAAUAACUUCUCGAAUCGCAUGGCCUUGCGCCGGCGAUGGUUCAUUCAAAUUUCUGCCCUAUCAACUUUCGAUGGCAGGGUCUUGGCCUGCCAUGGUUUCAACGGGUAACGGAGGGUUAGGGCUCGACCCCGGAGAAGGAGCCUGAGAAACGGCUACUACAUCCAAGGAAGGCAGCAGGCGCGCAAAUUACCCAAUCCCGACACGGGGAGGUAGUGACAAUAAAUACUGAUACAGGGCUCUUUUGGGUCUUGUAAUUGGAAUGAGUACAAUUUAAAUCCCUUAACGAGGAACAAUUGGAGGGCAAGUCUGGUGCCAGCAGCCGCGGUAAUUCCAGCUCCAAUAGCGUAUAUUAAAGUUGUUGCAGUUAAAAAGCUCGUAGUUGAACCUUGGGCCUGGCUGGCCGGUCCGCCUCACCGCGUGCACUGGUUCGGCCGGGCCUUUCCCUCUGGGGAGCCCCAUGCCCUUCACUGGGUGUGGCGGGGAACCAGGACUUUUACUGUGAAAAAAUUAGAGUGUUCAAAGCAGGCCUAUGCUCGAAUACAUCAGCAUGGAAUAAUAGAAUAGGACGUGUGGUUCUAUUUUGUUGGUUUCUAGGACCGCCGUAAUGAUUAAUA